CCUACGGGGGGCAGCAGUGGGGAAUAGUGGGCAAUGGGCGCAAGCCUGACCCAGCAACGCCGCGUGAAGGAAGAAGGCUUUCGGGUUGUAAACUUCUUUUCUGAGGGACGAAGAAAGUGACGGUACCGCAGGAAUAAGCCACGGCUAACUACGGGCCAGCAGCCGCGGGAAGACGGAGGUGGCAAGCGUUAUGCUGAUUUAUUGGGUGUAAAGGGCGUGUAGGCGGGAAAGCAAGUCAGAUGGGAAAACUCAGGGCUCAACCCUGAGCCUGCAUUUGAAACUGUUUUUCUUGAGUGCUGGUGCGGCAAUCGGCAUUCCGUUUGUAGCGGUUAAAUGCGUAGAUAUACGGAGGACCCCCAGUGGCGACGGCGGCUUGCUGGACCGUACCUGACGCUGAGGCGCGACAGCGUGGGUAGCAAACCGGAUUAGAUACCCGAGUAGUC
This 443-nucleotide ribosomal RNA is filed under the name uncultured bacterium. RNAcentral's name for it is "partial 16S ribosomal RNA". It matches the Rfam family "Bacterial small subunit ribosomal RNA", at positions 338 to 795 of the family's 1533-position model. The record is from RNAcentral.